Motacilla alba alba is the source of this 12146-nucleotide RNA transcript. It is a transcript of the gene named aldehyde oxidase 1, with no coding region annotated. The record is from RefSeq and is a predicted model, not a curated record. Lineage: Eukaryota; Metazoa; Chordata; Aves; Passeriformes; Motacillidae. The transcript is spliced from 38 exons.
GGCCCCGCCCCGCUCCGCUCCGCUCCUCUCCGCAAAACGAGGCGCGUCCAGCUGCGCGGCUUUCCCUGCUGCUCCUGUUCCGGGCUGCGAACGAUGGCACUGCAAGGGGCCGCGGCGCCUGAGGAGCUGGUUUUCUAUGUCAAUGGGAGGAAGAUAAUAGAGAAAAAUGCUGAUCCUGAACAAAUGCUCUUGGCUUAUCUCCGAAAGAGGCUCUGUCUUACAGGAACUAAGUAUGGCUGUGGAGGAGGUGGCUGUGGUGCUUGCACAGUGAUGAUAUCAACUUAUGAGCCAGCUUCAAAGAAGAUACGACAUUAUUCAGCCAAUGCGUGUUUGCUUCCCAUUUGCUCCUUGUAUGGUGCAGCAGUGACUACAGUGGAAGGUAUUGGAAGUACAAAAACCAGGAUUCAUCCAGUUCAGGAAAGACUUGCCAAGUGCCAUGGCUCCCAGUGUGGUUUCUGCACCCCUGGAAUGGUGAUGUCCAUAUACACUUUGCUAAGAAACCACCCAGAACCAACUUCGGAGCAGAUGAUUGCAGCUCUGGCUGGGAACUUGUGCCGCUGCACUGGAUACAGGCCAAUCCUAGAUGCCUGUAAAACCUUCUGUAAGGAAUCCAUUUGUUAUCAAAGGAAAGCAAAUGGAAAAUGUUGCUUGGAUCAGCAAGAUGAUUUGUUUGACAAUGAAGAGAAGGUGUCCACCAGCCUGGUUUCAACAGAUGAAUUCCAGCCCUUAGAUCCCACCCAGGAGCUCAUAUUCCCUCCAGAGCUAAUGAGAAUGGCAGAAAAUCAACCAAAAAGAACUCUGUUUUUUCGUGGGGAGCGAGUAACAUGGAUUUCUCCUGUGAGCUUGGAUGAACUGCUGGAUCUGAAAGCCACCCACCCUAAAGCUCCUCUUGUGGUUGGGAACACCAGUGUGGGACCUGACAUGAAAUUCAGAGGUGUGUUCCAUCCAGUUCUUAUUGCUCCUGCAAGGAUCCCUGAUCUGAAUGUGCUGAAAUACACAAACGAUGGAUUAACUCUGGGAGCUGCCUGCAGCCUCUCUCUAGUGAAAGACAUCUUGACAAAUGCAAUGGCCAAGUUCCCUGAAGAGAAGACAAGGGUUUUCUGUGCUAUCUUGCAGCAAUUGAGAACUCUGGGCGGAGAACAGAUAAGAAAUGUUGCUUCAUUUGGUGGAAACAUCAUAAGUAGAAAAUCAACCUCAGACUUGAAUCCUGUUCUGGCAGCCAGCAACUGCAUGCUCAAUCUGGCUUCAAGAGGACAAAAGCGACAGAUUCCUGUAAGUGAUAUUUUUGCAGAUGGAGUUGGUAACAAUACCAUUACACCAGAAGAGAUCUUGGUCUCCAUCCAUAUUCCCUAUUCUAGGAAGGGGGAGUAUGUCUCUGCAUUUCGACAAGCACCAAGACGGGAAAAUGCCCUUCCAAUAACCACUGCUGGGAUGAGGGUCCUUUUUGAAGAAGGUACAGACAUUAUAAAGGAUCUAAGCAUUUUCUAUGGAGGUGUUGUCUCAACAACAGUCUGUGCAAAACAAACCUGUUGGACACUUACUGGAAGACACUGGAAUGAACAAAUGUUGGAUGAAGCAUGCAGACUAGUUCUUAAAGAAAUUGCUCUUCCAGGCUCAGCUGGUGAUGAAAAUUUAGACUAUAAGAAAACUUUGAUGGUCAGUUUCUUCUACAGAUUUUUCCUGGAAGUAUCGCAGUCAUUGAAGACAAUGGAUCCUUGCCAUUAUCCUGGCAUACCUAUGGAAUAUGGGAGUAUCCUACAAGAUUUCAAAACCAGAAUGCCCCAGAGUAUCCAAAUAUAUCAGGACGUAGAGCCGAGCCAGUCUCCCCAGGACCCUGUAGGACGGCCCGUUAUGCACCAGUCUGGGAUAAAGCAUGCCACUGGUGAAGCAGUCUACGUUGAUGACCUUCCUUCUGUGGAUGGGGAGCUUUUCCUGGCUCCUGUCACUAGUUCCAGAGCUCAUGCUAAGAUUGUAUCUAUAGAUGCCUCAGAGGCCCUAAAAGGAGCAGGUGUGUUUGAUGUCAUAACAGCUCAUGACGUGCCAGCUGCAAAUGAGUUUCAUUUUUCUGAUGAUCCGGAGAUUAUAUUUGCAAGAAAUGAGGUGAUUUGUGUGGGUCAGAUUGUCUGUGCUGUGGUCGCAGAUUCAGAUGUCCAUGCCAAACAAGCAGCUGCAAAAGUGAAGAUAGAAUAUGAAAUUCUGGAACCAGUAAUUUUAACAAUUGAGGAAGCUAUAAAACACAACUCAUUCUUUGAGCCAAAAAGAAAAUUAGAACAAGGAAAUGUUGAUGAGGCAUUUGAAACUGUUGAUAAUAUAAUUGAAGGGGAGAUUUGCAUUGGGGGACAGAAACACUUUUACAUGGAGACUCAGAGUGUGCUUGCUGUUCCAAAAGGAGAGGAUAAAGAAAUGGAUUUGUAUGUGUCGACACAGCAUCCAGCAAUGAUUCAGGAGAUGGUAGCUGCAAGUUUAGGUGUUCCAGCCAACAGGAUCAUGUGCCAUGUGAAACGAGUUGGUGGAGCUUUUGGUGGGAAAAUCCUGAGAACUGGCUUACUGGCAUCAGUUGCUGCAGUGGCAGCAAACAAAACCAGCAGAGCAGUCCGUUUUAUUCUGAGCCGGGAGGAUGAUAUGGUAAUCACUGGUGGCCGACAUCCUUUUAUGGCUAAAUAUAAAGUUGGCUUCAUGAAUGAUGGCAGGAUCACAGCUGUGGAUACCCAAUAUUAUAUUAAUGGAGGAUGUACUCCUGAUGAAUCUGUCCUGGUAGCAGAAGUUUCCUUAUUAAAAAUGGACAAUGCAUAUAAGAUUCCCAACUUGAGAUGCUGGGCUUAUGCCUGCAAAACCAACUUGCCAUCAAAUGCAGCAUUCCGAGGCUUUGGCUUUCCUCAGUCAGGACUGGUGACAGAAACUUGGAUAACAGACGUUGCAGAUAAAACCGGUUUAUCAGCAGAAAAGAUUAGGGAAAUAAAUAUGUAUAAGAAGAGCGAGCAGACACACUUCAAACAAAAACUUGAUCCACAGAAUUUAAUACGGUGUUGGAAUGAAUGUAUGGAGAAAUCUGCAUACUACAGCAGGAGAACAGCUAUCAAUGAAUUUAACAAAGAAAAUUACUGGAAGAAAAGAGGGAUUGCCAUUGUACCAAUGAAAUUUCCAUUUGGACUAGGCACACCUUACCUUUCUCAGGCUGCUGCACUGGUUCAUAUUUAUACUGAUGGGUCUGUGCUUCUGACACAUGGUGGAAUUGAAAUGGGGCAGGGUAUUCAUACAAAAAUGAUCCAGGUUGCUAGUCGUGAAUUGAACAUCCCCAUGUCAUGUAUCCACUUCUGUGAAACGAGCACAACAACUGUUCCCAAUGCAUGUGCCUCAGUAGGAUCUGCAGGGACAGAUGUCAAUGGCAUGGCUGUGAAGGAUGCUUGCCAAACUCUUCUGAAACGCCUGCAGCCCAUCAUUGAGAAGAACCCAACAGGGACCUGGAAUGACUGGAUUAGAGAAGCUUUUAAACAGAGUGUGAACCUUUCAGCUACUGGCUAUUUUAGAGGUUACAAUGAAUACAUGGACUGGGAGAAAGGGGAAGGACAGCCAUUCACAUAUUUUCUUUUUGGAGCUGCUUGUUCAGAGGUUGAAAUUAACUGUCUAACAGGAGAUCACAAGAACCUCAGAACAGACAUUGUUAUGGACAUUGGAUGCAGCAUAAAUCCAGCUGUGGAUAUAGGACAGAUUGAAGGCGCUUUUGUUCAAGGUGUUGGGCUGUACACAAUGGAGGAGUUAAAAUAUUCUUCAGAAGGAGUCCUCUAUACUCGGGGUCCAGAUCAGUAUAAGAUUCCUGCUGUUUGUGAUAUUCCAGAACAGUUAAGUGUUUCCCUGCUGUCACCUUCUCAAAAUCCUUAUGCCAUCUAUGCAUCCAAGGGGAUAGGUGAGGCAGGAUUUUUCUUGGGAUGCUCUGUGUUCUUCGCUUUGAGGGAUGCAGUAACUGGUGUGAGGAAUGAAAGAGGACUGAAAAAGACCUUGGCACUGAACAGUCCCCUGACUGCUGAGCAAAUACGGGCAAACUGCGCCGAUGCCUUUACUGACAUGAGAAUGGCUCAAGAGCAACAAAGAGUCGUGAUUUUCCACGGGCAGAGAACAACAUGGACUUCUCUCCCGGGCAUGAAGAAGCUGAGGGAAUGGCCAUGCCUUUGAGGGGAAGAAAAGUAAACCUGGUUUUUGUCAACAGAGAUGAUAUGAGAAAGGACUUCUGAAGGGAACAGUAGAUGAAAUCACAUUAAAAAGUACAAGGGUAGAACUUCAGUUAAGAUUGAAUAAAACAAAUACAAUUUCUAACAGUCUUUUAAUGGAAUAAAAUGGGGUUAUGGGACAGCUCCCUGUUACAUAUAAGAAGGGCAAGCUUAAAAAUAACCUCAUUGUUUGUUAAAGUAUUUAGGAAGACACAUUGUAAGCAGGGGAUUGUCCUGAGACUCAAACCCAGCCUCACCAGCAGGCACAUCUGUCCUUUGGCAUCAGAAGGUAAGCUUUCGCUCCCCUGCCAAGUAUCUUUGAGAUGGGCAGAACACUGCAACAGAGAAUGUGUCUGUGGGUAACAGUUUUCAAGUCAAAUACUACUGUGCAUCUCCUAGAUGGGUUAGAACGGUACAUUCAGGAGAAUGGAGGACAUUAUCUUGGUAUUUGCUUGUCAUUUUAACUUGCAAAAAGUAUUUGCCAGUAGAAAACACUGUCCUGUUUGACAAGACAAAAGGAAAUGGCAUCUAGCCAUCUCAGGAAAGCAAGGUGGGCAUGCCUGACAGGUAUGAAGGCCUCCUUUCUACCCUCUGGUUAUGUCACUUCAUUUAUCGGGUUAGCUUUGUCUUGUAAUUCCACCACUGAUUGCUUUUCUUGCUUUUGCCUGUCACUUUUUAAGAAAAACUUUAGUUCAUUCUCUAGGGCCAUGCACCUAGAAACUUCUCUUGAAGUCCCUGGUGCUUUUGUGGAUAUAUGUGUGUAUGUACAUGAGCAUCGUAUUUAAAUAACACUCCAGUAAUCAAGCCAAAGCAAGUCCCAUCCUUGCAACAUAGAAUCUGUGAGAAGUUUGGAAAAUCUUGGCAACAGUUUCUGCAGUCUUUGAACUAAAUGUGUACAGGGCUGAUUCCCCAUCUUUUUGAAGUGUUUGAUAGUUACUUAAAACUUACUGUAAUUAAAUGUUUGUAAUGGUCUGAAGUGCUUUUGAGUAGAAGUAGGAGAGUUGUAUUUAAACCUAAAUAACUGAUUUUCUGACUAUUAUUAGCAUUUUAAGACUUACAUUUUCUAGAAAGUAUAAAAUACUCAGUAUUUUAUAUGUGAUGGAGAACUAUGGCAUUAAUAUAGGGAAAUCGAUAUAGAUUAGCCUUUCUGCUCAAGGGCUAGAUCCUGCUAAGUCCAUAUUGGCCUUAAUAUAUUCUUUUGCACAGAUUCAAUAAAAUUUGAAUCUGCAAUGCAGAAAUCUUUCCUUCUUACCUCACAUUCAAUAACAAACUAGAGUUUUCUCCAUCAGAUGGUAAAAGAUUCUUUUAAAUGAUCAGUUCCUUGCUGACUGUGAGCAUGCUGACAUAAAUGCCAAAAAGUUCACUGUUUGUGUUCUUAUCCUGUACUCUGUAAAGAUAAGACUGAUGCUUCAGAAGUUUCAUUUAAGUUCCUGUGUAGUUAUUAAGAUAUUAGGAAUAUUUCCAUUAUUUCCAGUAGGCAUUGAAACAUGCAGGCUACUCCUGCUUGGAUGUAGCUAAGAAAAUUCUAGCAUCCUUCCAUCACCACUCCCACUUUUUCCAGCUAUACAUCAUCUUCUACUUCUUUGGGCCUCUUACUGUUUUCUCCUCGCUCUUAAAUGUGUGCUUGUGCCCCUUUCAGACAAAAAUUUAGACUGCCUGAGUAUUUGCAAUAUAUGGAAAAAUGCCAUAUUGUCACACAAGUCUUCAGCAAUAAUUUCAUUUCUGACCUCUUUUCGCUAACUGAUUAAUGAUUUACAAUCAAUAAUCCUGAGUUGUGGUUGCAGCUACUCAAAAAAUAAGGUCCUAAACACUGUGACCAAAGGCGGCAGCAUGUGGCAUUGGGGGGUAGGGGUGAGGAAACAUGUCCUUGUUCCUGUGCUCUUAGGUAUCCCUCUAGUGGAUAUGAGGAGAGGAACGGCGUGGAUAGAGGGACACCCAACCACAAAGCAACGCGUUGUGAUUGAAAUCAGUGAAGGAGUGAGCACAGGAGUCUCUGCCAACCCUGACACCAGAGAGUCAGUCCCCAGAGCAACUGCCCGCUGCAGUGCAGCUCCCUAAACAUCCUCGUGCCGGGAAUUGGUGACUUCAGCUUUAAACCUCCAGUCCAAAACAAUUAUAUGUGCCAUGUGAAAAGUGUUGGUGGAGCAUUUGGGGAUUACAACACUCUUUGUUGUAGUUGCAGCUGUGGCAGCCAACAAGAAUUUACAUCUCCCUGUUGAGAAGCUAAAGAGAAAACUACUUAAAAGAUCAUUUUCCCUACUUUGUUACUGUUGCCAAAAAAAGAAGAAAAAAAAACCAGAAGAAGAACUUGCUGAAUCAGCCUAACCUCAGGCAUGGUAGGUUAAUAAGAAACUAAAACAUAGAAUGGGCUGAUUUAUUUGCACCACUAGGAGUUUGGGCUUGUACACAUAAUAUUAUUUGCAAUCUGCAUCAAGAGGCUGUAAUAAAAGGGGAUUUUUCUAAUGUUCCUUUUAGGAGCAGGUGUCCACUCCAUUUUAUCCUGGAAAGAAAUAUAGAUGUGUUAAUCACUGGUGGACAGCACCUUGCCUUUGGAAAAUAAAAAGUGAGUGACAUGAGAAGGUAUUUUUCCCAGUUACUGGGUAAUAGUUUCUUCUGAGGCAAAUCAGCAUAAUUUCAUUGACUGUCAAGAAACAGCUGGAAACCAAAGUUCUCUUCUUCUGAAAUCCUAACCCAGCACCAACCUUCUCCAGUCCUAAGAGUACCCUGAUGAAUGCCAUGAAUCAAAACAAAAGCUAUCAUCCUAGAGUCCAUGCAAUAUCCAGAAAAAGCAGAACGAUCCAACCCUUUUUUUAACUUUGGAAUACGGCUAACAUCCUAACUGCCCUAUCCCACCCUCAGAUGAUAAAUAUGUAACUCAGCAUUGAAUAUGAGCCACUUCUCAGACAUAAAGCCAGCUCUGCAAGGUAAUGCAAGAUAGAUCUUGUAGUAAACUCUUCCUUUUGACUUCUAAAUCCUCACAUUGAAAAUAAAUAGGUAAACCGUGCCAGCACUGAAAUCAGCUUGGUAAGUGGUGGUGGCAGGUGUAUGAAGUGAGCACCCUAAAACCCUCCAGGACAGGGUUUAUGGUUCAAUAUGGUUUGGAUAAAGAAGACCUGAGGAGUUGGCUUUUCAACAGACUCUUGCAUGAAUGGUAGAGUUUGGCUGAUGACUGUUUCUGGGAGAGAUUGCUUAUAUUUUUAAUUUUGCUGAAGAUAUUGCUCACAAAAAUACUGUUCAACUCUGGUUAUGAUUAGAAUAGGUUUAGAACUGGCUUGGGAAAAGAAAGGAGGAAAAUUUCAUUUUUGUUUUAGUCUUGUAUUAACCAUAAGACAAGGAAUGGGACUGUCAUUGGCAUAUGUCAGUAGCAUAUGUAUUUCAUAUUCUUCUGGGUAUCCAUUACCUGACUAUUAGGAAGUGCAAUACAGUACCAGCUCUGGCUGGUUUUCACAUGCAGUAUCUUCUCUCUCACACAGAUGGAACAUGUAACCCACAACUAGUGGACUAUGCCCUUUUAUUCAAAUUUCUUCCAGAGUCACUGAAGUUAUUUGGAUAACCGCUUUGUGUGGUUUGCUUUGCCUCUGGUUUCUUCAAAAUGAGGAUGGCAAGGAAACGCACCCUCACCCUUGAGUUCUCUGUGUGUUUCCAGAGUAAUGCCUCCAAUCUGCUCUUUCCAUGUCUUGCAUUUCCCUCACUCCAAGGGUUGGCAGGACAGAGCAGUAGCCUGCUGCACAGUACUGAUUUCUGUAGAAUGAGGCUGGAGCCAACUUCCCUCCCCGUAUCAGUCCCAGCCAACAAUGAUUACACAAGUAUUUCUGCAGAAAGCAGGGCAAGAUGGCAAUGAUGACAUUGUUUCCUGACAAUAGCCACCUCACAGGUUUUCCAUUGCACUCAUCCUUUGGCACUGUAAAAAGAGAUACAUCUGGAGUUGCUUAAUACCUUGUCACUGGGCCCAAAUUUCUGUUUAUAAGUUAAAUAGGGAAAAAAGGGAAUAAAAAAUUAAAGUAGUAAAGCACAGGAGCAAUUGUGAAAUAAAGAGCAAGAUUUUACCAGCCAGUCUCUCAUCAAUGCAUAUCCAGUCAGAAAGCAAACCAAAAAAACACUUUGGGAGAUGGGAAAGUUGGAACUGUCUGACGAAACUAUGUCAAGGUCCAUUAAUUAAAGUUUUCCAUUUAAAAAGCCCCAUGGGCCUAAGUUUGAACAAAUCUGUUGUGCUCUAGGCUGAAAAUUUCUCUAUGAAAAGGGGCACAAAUUACAUCAGGCAGACCUGCAGGCCCCUCUCUUCCCAUAGAGACCCCUACCUCAACCUGCCUGAGGCUGGGGUUAGGACUUCUGCCUGUCCUCUUCUGCUUCCAUCUGUGCAGGAUAUCCAGCAAAGUGUUUCUCAGUGAUAGGACUUCUCAUAUUCAUAGAAGUCAUAACCAAGGUCAAGAACCUUCAUAGGCUGUCAUGCAAAAAUUUGUGAACAGCUUAGAAUUUAAAUAAAGAUAAAUUUGUUAUCCAGUCACCAGGAGAUGAAGUAUCAUCUCCAGGAAUAAACUGUAGGCUUUCUUUGCAAAAUCAUGGCACCCACAAUUCAAUGCAGUCUCAUUAAAAUGUAUUGCAUAGUGGAACCUCGUAUGUCAGUUUCUGUAAUCUGAGCCUUUCAGGCUGAGAGCUCACCUGUGCUAUAGAGAUAUGAGCUUAAUUACCUGUUCAAUUACAAGAAUGCCACUGUUCACUAGAGGUAAGUUGGUUGAUUUCCCAACCUUUUAUAACCUGAGAAACUUGAGAUAUGUGUGUGCAAUGACAUUUGUGCAGCUGAUAAGGAACAUGCAUUUGUGAAAUACUGUAAGUUUUUUCUCCCCUUAGCAAAACUAUUUUCUGUAUUUUAUUUCAGUUUCCUUAAGACAAACUUGGAACCUGUAAGCCAUGGGUUUAGAUUAUACAUUAGUACUGCUUUCCUAAGGAUUGGACAACCAAGUGACUCCUUCAGCCCCUUACUGACAGCAAGCAUUCCUGCAAGAAAGAAUUAGAACUGUCAUACUUACACACACACAUAUGUAUGUGACACUAUUUUGGUAGAACAAGAUAUAAGCACCAGUUCUCUUGUCCUGCCAAGUAGAAGACCUGUCAUUAAUGUGUUUCAUGCUACACUGGAACAGUUCUGGAGUUACCUCAAGAACUUGAAAGAAUUUGCAUGCAAUUUUGAAAAUACCUGCAACGAAGAGCAGAUCACAAGUAGUACCAUUGUGUCGCUUCUACAUCCAGUUUGAGAGCAACAGCUGUUAUCUUUGAUUUUUUCUGUUCUUCCAGCAUAUGGAAAUCCCAAGGAUCAGAAUGAGACCCUGUACAAAUUAAUGAUGGGCAAUGUAUCAAUAUUUAAGUAAAACAGAGAUUCUAAAAGUACAUACUGCCAAGUAUUUCUAGGCACAGAUAUAUGACCACCCCAGUAACCCAUCAGUUUAGCUCUGCUUCCUGGCAGCCCGCCUCAGGCCUGCUCCACAUCAUCAGAUCUCUUUGAACCACUAACUCUGGCCUCUCCCAGAGGUGGAACAUAAUCACUGCCAUUCACUGCCUUGUCAUCACUCACUUCUCCUCUGCCUUACCCCCAGUUUUGCCCCUUCCUUCCAGCAAAAUGCUAAAGCAGGACGAAGUUGAUGCAUUCAUCCCAGGUGAGGAGAGGGCACAAGGUGGGGGAGUGGCACUGGAGGUGGGAAGGGUUAAGAGCAGGACAGGAUCCCAGUAGCAGCUGUUUUCCUAACAGAGGUGAGGUUGCCCAGAGCAGAUGUGCAGCAGGUGACCAAGAGGGAAAGGUGGAGGGGAGGGCUGAGAGGGGAACUGUGACAAGAUAAAUUCAUUAUAGGUGUGGCAGCUCAGCUGUGCCAAACAACUGGCACUCUGACAGACAUUGUUUUGGAAAGGAGGUUUUAAAGUGAUCCAGUGGCAGCUGUAUGAAUCUUGAUGGAACAUUUCCCCAUGAGGAGAGUAGUCUGAAAAAGAAGUGUAAAGGUAUUUGAGAAGGAGGAAAGGAAAUGGCUGAGCUGAGCCAGCGUAGGUAUGCGUACAAAUCAAUAUUCAGCUUUGACAGUUGAUAGUUCAAAGCCAUAAAAUUACCAGUGAGAACACAUUUAACAACAUCAUUCUGUUCCCAAACACUAGCAUAAGAAACAACUCUAAAGAUGCUCAACAGGUAUUGCAUGAGUUCAGAUCCUGAGCUUAUGUACAUAAACACAAAUUUAUUUUCAUUUAUUUCACUGAUGACAGUGCAGGUUUAAAUUAGCAUAGUAUAGAAGAGAGUGGGACCUGCAUACACCCUCAAAUAAGUCAAAUUUAAUCUAAAUCUGUAGAGAUUAAAAAAAAAAAAAACUUAUUCCUUUACAUUGGUAACAUUUUCUGGUUCCUUUCUACAGCUAAUAGAAAAAGCUCUACUGGUAAUGAGCUUCGUAGUUUUGUCAUAUCAAAUACUUUAGGGAGCAGAAAACAGAAAUUAUUAUAUCUUAGUGUUUCCUUUCCUUAAAAUGUUUUAAUAAUUUCUGAUUUUUCUUCUUGGCUUUUUAAUUAAUUGUGAUUUAGACAAAUGCUCUAAUUUUAGAAUGGGCACCAAUGUAAUCAGUGCCUUGGGUUUAGAAUUAAUGGACAAAUAUUGGCUAAUAUGAAGGUGAAAAUGUUUCUUCUGAAUGUGGUAUUUUUGAAGUUAGUAUUUUGGGGAUUUCAUUGGGCUGUUAACUGGAAUCUGCAAAAAUGUUUCUUGAAGAAAACUUGUAAGACACUGUACUGCUAUUUCAUGGCACUGGGAUCUAUCAUCAGUAUUAUUUCAAGGACAAAAUAGUAACAAAAAUGGUAUGAGAUGAACUCUGGCUCCUAUUGACAAUAAGAAUGAUCGUGUUUUCCCUGCUGCAGCCCAGUGAUUUGUCCCAUUUAUACACCUGAUAACUGGUCAUUUCAAGAGCUUUAGUCACAGCAACAUUGCACUUAAAUCUGGUGGAAAUUGCAGCUGCAUACAGUCUAGAAGGAAGCUUGUGUUCUCUAAGUUGGUUUGGUGGUUUUGCCUUUUGGGGAGCAAAGACCUGAGCUACAAUUGCAUCUCCAGUCCUACACCAGCACAGAGAGUAUUCCCCAUGUUGUCUCCAGCUCUGUGCUGCUGUGUGUUUGGCAGCCCAUCUCUUUUACGUAGUACUUAAAGGGCCUCCACUAACACAGUGAGUGUUCAUGCUGUCUGCUAACAGACAGACUGCCUACAGCCAGAGGGUAGGAUGAGACCUGUUAAGGUGAUUGCCAGUCAAAGAAUCCGUGUUUAAAGGGCAGUAGAGAAGGCCUGCGCUUCUGGAGCCCAGGGACUUUGCUGUGUGUCAGACAACUGAUAGUCCUGUCUGCACACACUACAGUGUAUCAAGUGCUUGUAUGGUGCUGUCACCACCAGGAUCUGAAACAAAUUAUUACAACUGCAAAGCAAAUCAAGUAGCACAGCCGGUCCCGGUGCUGCCACCCGCACUUAUCACCCGCGCUCCGUGGGCCGCAGACCAGGCCGGAGGAGAGGUGUCCCUGCGGUGCCGGGCUGGCUCCGCCGCAGGGCCGGGGAGCGCGGGGGGCACCAGGCGCUGGGUCCCGGGCGCGGUAACCCCGGUAUGGCUCGGCCGGGAAGCUCCUCUGGUGGGACAGAGACCCCCCGAGGCCAACAGCUCGGCACCACGCGCGGCCCCGAGAGAGCCCGCCCCGCUCCCCGCCCCUUCCCUCCAUCCUCUGGGGCGGGGCGGAGCGCGGCCCUCCCCUCUUCCUCUGGCGUCGGUUCCGUUCGCAGAGCUCUCGCUGCCACCGUUCCUCGCUGCUGUUCCUGCCCGUCUCCGCUCCGGGCCGCUCGGGCAUUUUCUCUCUGCCUUAAAGUCGGGUGUCUUUUAUGAAUAAUCAAAAGCCGCAGAAGCCGACACUAUCGGGCCAGCGUUUUAAAACCAGAAAAAGAGGUGA